Mus caroli (Ryukyu mouse) is the source of this 1608-nucleotide non-coding RNA. The record is from RefSeq and is a predicted model, not a curated record. Lineage: Eukaryota; Metazoa; Chordata; Mammalia; Rodentia; Muridae.
UGACAGGGUCACCAUUUGCAGCGCGACAUGGCAGGAGCUGGAGGAGGGAAUGAUAUUCAGAGGUUUUAUUCUCAGGUGAAAGGAGCAGUAGAUGAUGACGUAGCAGAAGCAGAUAUAAUUUCUACAGUAGAGUUUAAUCAUUCUGGAGAAUUACUAGCCACAGGAGAUAAAGGUGGGAGAGCUGUCAUCUUUCAACAAGAGCAGGAGCGCCUUUGACCUGAGGAUCUCAAAGUGCUUUAGAAACACGAAUGAAUUAAUCCUCACAACACCCAGUGAGAACAAAAUCCAGUCUCACAGCAGAGGAGAAUACAAUGUUUACAGCACCUUCCAGAGCCACGAGCCAGAAUUUGACUACUUGAAAAGCUUAGAAAUAGAAGAGAAGAUCAACAAAAUUAGAUGGUUACCCCAGAAAAAUGCUGCCCAGUUUUUAUUGUCUACCAACGAUAAAACAAUAAAAUUAUGGAAAAUCAGUUAAAGAGACAAAAGAGACCAGAAGGCUAUAACUUGAAAGAGGAAGAUGGAAGAUAUAGAGAUCCUACUACAGUCACUACGCUUCGGGUGCCCGUAUUUAGGCCCAUGGAUCUAAUGGUGGAAGCCAGUCCACAGAGAAUAUUUGCCAACACCCACACUUAUCACAUCAACUCAAUUUCUAUCAAUAGUGAUCAUGAAACCUACUUAUCAGCAGAUGAUUUGUUAAUUAAUCUCUGGCAUCUGGAAAUUUAAUAUUGUGGAUAUCAAGCCUGGCAAUGUGGAAGAUCUCACGGAGGUGCUCACAGCUGCAGAAUUUCACCCCAACAGCUGUCACACGUUUGUGUAUACAGCAGCAGUAAAGGGACCAUUGGUUAUGUGACAUGAGGGCAUCUGCGCUUUGUGACAGGCAUUCUAAACUGUUUGAAGAACCUGAAGAUCCCAGCAACACGUCAAUUUUUUUUAAAAAAUAAUCUCCUCUAUUUCUGAUGUAAAAUUCAGCCAUAGUGGUCAUUAUAUGAUGACUAGAAACUAUUUGUUGGUCAAAAUUUGGGACUUGAAUAUGGAAAACAGGCCCGUGGAGACAUAGCAGGUACCUGAAUACCUCAGAAGUAAACUUUGCUCACUGUAUGGAAACGACUGCAUAUUUGACAGAUUUGAAUGUUGGUGGAAUGGGUCUGACAGUGUUGUCAUGACUGGACCCUACAAUCAUUUCUUCAGAAUGUUUGACAGGAACACAAAGCGGGAUAUAACUCUAGAAACAUCACGAGAGAACAAUAAGUCUCACACAGUUUGGAAGCCACGCAGAGUCUGUGCAAGCAGCAAGCGAAAGAAAGAUGAAAUAAGUGUUGACAGCCUAGACUUCAACAAGAAAAUCCUUCAUACAGCCUGGCAUCCCAAGGAAAACAUCAUUGCUGUAGCGACUACAAACAAUCUGUAUAUAUUUCAAGACAAAGUGAAUUAGGCUGGCUUUCUCUGCAGAGGAGCCACAUCCUGCUUAGGGAGAUAGUUGAAUCUAGCAUUCAUACCUAUAAGAGAGCGGUCCACUGUGGCGCCCCUUUCCAGUGUUUGACAGUGUGCCAUUCAACAACACAUUUGAUAGCCUCAUGGAGAAAGCUGUGUGGCUGCAUCCCAGGCUGU